AGACGUCUACAUUAGAUACCCGCGUAGUCCCAGCCGUAAACUAUGCGCGUUAGGUGUAUCGGUGACCACGAGUCACCGAGGUGCCGAAGGGAAACCGUGAAACGUGCCGCCUGGGAAGUACGGUCGCAAGGCUGAAACUUAAAGGAAUGGGCGGGGAGCACCACAACGGGUGGAGCCUGCGGUUUAAUUGGACUCAACGCCGGGAAGCUCACCGGAUAAGACAGCGGAAUGAUUGCCGGGCUGAAGACUCUGCAUGACUAGCUG
Molecule: ribosomal RNA, 264 nt
Filed under: uncultured archaeon
Lineage: Archaea
Description: partial 16S ribosomal RNA
Rfam family: Archaeal small subunit ribosomal RNA
Source: RNAcentral